Molecule: transfer RNA, 73 nt
Filed under: Stegodyphus mimosarum
Lineage: Eukaryota; Metazoa; Arthropoda; Arachnida; Araneae; Eresidae
Rfam family: tRNA
About the family: Transfer RNA (tRNA) molecules are approximately 80 nucleotides in length.
Source: Rfam by way of RNAcentral
GCCUUCGUGGUGUAGUGGUCAGCACGCUCGACGCGUAACCGAGAGGUCCGUGGUUCGAUUCCCGGCGAAGCCG